This 250-nucleotide ribosomal RNA is filed under the name uncultured bacterium. Its description in RNAcentral is "partial 16S ribosomal RNA". It matches the Rfam family "Bacterial small subunit ribosomal RNA", at positions 524 to 773 of the family's 1533-position model. The record is from RNAcentral.
UACGGAGGGGGCAAGCGUUGUUCGGAAUCAUUGGGCGUAAAGGGCGCGUAGGUGGCCAAACAAGUCGGGUGUGAAAUCCCUCGGCUCAACCGAGGAACUGCAUUCGAUACUGUUCGGCUAGAGUCCGGGAGGGGAUGGUGGAAUUCCCAGUGUAGCGGUGAAAUGCGUAGAUAUUGGGAAGAACACCGGUGGCGAAGGCGGCCAUCUGGACCGGCACUGACACUGAGGCGCGAAAGCCAGGGGAGCGAAU